UACGGGGGGGGCAAGCGUUGUCCGGAAUUACUGGGCGUAAAGAGUUCGUAGGCGGUUUGUCGCGUCGUUUGUGAAAACCAGCAGCUCAACUGCUGGCUUGCAGGCGAUACGGGCAGACUUGAGUACUGCAGGGGAGACUGGAAUUCCUGGUGUAGCGGUGAAAUGCGCAGAUAUCAGGAGGAACACCGGUGGCGAAGGCGGGUCUCUGGGCAGUAACUGACGCUGAGGAACGAAAGCGUGGGUAGCGAACAGG
RNAcentral lists this ribosomal RNA (253 nucleotides) under uncultured bacterium. RNAcentral describes it as "partial 16S ribosomal RNA". It matches the Rfam family "Bacterial small subunit ribosomal RNA", at positions 524 to 776 of the family's 1533-position model. The record is from RNAcentral.